UACGUAGGGGGCGAGCGUUGUCCGGAAUUAUUGGGCGUAAAGGGUUCGCAGGCGGUCUGAUAAGUCAGAUGUGAAAGGCGUAGGCUCAACCUACGUAAGCAUUUGAAACUGUCAGACUUGAGUUAAGGAGAGGAAAGUGGAAUUCCUAGUGUAGCGGUGAAAUGCGUAGAUAUUAGGAGGAAUACCAGUGGCGAAGGCGACUUUCUGGACUUAUACUGACGCUGAGGAACGAAAGCGUGGGGAGCAAACAGG
This 252-nucleotide ribosomal RNA is filed under the name uncultured bacterium. RNAcentral's name for it is "partial 16S ribosomal RNA". It matches the Rfam family "Bacterial small subunit ribosomal RNA", at positions 524 to 776 of the family's 1533-position model. RNAcentral also lists the same sequence under 1 other name. The record is from RNAcentral.